GGUCUGUUCGCCCUUUAAAAUCUAACAUGAGCUGAGUUCAGAACGGCGUGAGCUAGUUCAGUUUCUAUCCUCUUUUAAAAAAUAAGCUAAUUUUGUACGAAAGGACUUUUUCGCUAAAGUAAUGCUUUGGCCCAGCCCUAUAAUUACACAAGUAUUGGUACAUGACGAGCUGAUCAACUCAUAAAAAGGGCUG
Molecule: ribosomal RNA, 193 nt
Filed under: Mytilus trossulus (common blue mussel)
Lineage: Eukaryota; Metazoa; Mollusca; Bivalvia; Mytilida; Mytilidae
Description: partial 16S ribosomal RNA
Source: RNAcentral